This 348-nucleotide unclassified non-coding RNA is filed under the name soil metagenome. Its description in RNAcentral is "partial contains 5.8S ribosomal RNA, internal transcribed spacer 2, and large subunit ribosomal RNA". The stretch from base 1 to 121 matches the Rfam family "5.8S ribosomal RNA", at positions 35 to 154 of the family's 154-position model. The record is from RNAcentral.
GAUGAAGAACGUAGCGAAAUGCGAUAAGUAAUGCGAAUUGCAGAAUUUCCGUGAGUCAUCGAAUCUUUGAACGCACAUUGCGCCCAUUGGCAUUCCGAUGGGCAUGCCUGUUCGAGCGUCAUUAUCCUCCCUCAAACCCCUGGGUUUGGUGUUGGACUGUGUGGUGCCUGGCACCACUGGUCUCAAAGACAAUGACGGCGUCCGUGGGACCCUCGGUGCAACGAGCUUUUCGAUGCACGCGUCGAGUGGACAGUCUCUCCGGGCCGGUCACCUCUCCAAUUUUUCUCAGGUUGACCUCGGAUCAGGUAGGAAUACCCGCUGAACUUAAGCAUAUCAAUAAGCGGAGGA